Molecule: ribosomal RNA, 245 nt
Filed under: uncultured bacterium
Lineage: Bacteria
Description: partial 16S ribosomal RNA
Rfam family: Bacterial small subunit ribosomal RNA
Source: RNAcentral
UACGGAGGGUGCAAGCGUUGUUCGGAAUCACUGGGCGUAAAGCGCGUGUAGGCGGCCUUCUAAAUCUGAUGUGAAAGCCCGGGGCUCACCCCCGGAAGUGCAUUGGAAACUGGAAGGCUCGAGUACCGGAGAGGAAGGUGGAAUUCCUGGUGUAGCGGCGAAAUGCGUAGAUAUCAGGAGGAACACCGGUGGCGAAGGCGGCCUUCUGGACGGAUACUGACGCUGAGACGCGAAAGCGUGGGGAG